This 248-nucleotide unclassified non-coding RNA is filed under the name uncultured Phaeosphaeria. RNAcentral's name for it is "partial contains 5.8S ribosomal RNA, internal transcribed spacer 2, and large subunit ribosomal RNA". The record is from RNAcentral. Lineage: Eukaryota; Fungi; Ascomycota; Dothideomycetes; Pleosporales; Phaeosphaeriaceae.
AACGCACAUUGCGCCCCUUGGUAUUCCAUGGGGCAUGCCUGUUCGAGCGUCAUUUGUACCCUCAAGCUCUGCUUGGUGUUGGGUGUUUGUCCGCUCCGCCGUGUGUUGGACUCGCCUUAAAGCAAUUGGCAGCCAGUGUUUUGGUAUUGAAGCGCAGCACAUUUUGCGAUUCUAGCCCAAAGACUUGCGUCCAUAAGCCUUUUUUAACUUUUGACCUCGGAUCAGGUAGGGAUACCCGCCGAACUUAA